CUUGAAACACGGAUUGCGGAGUGCUUGUCUACUGCGAGUCAAAGGGUGUUAAAACCUUGCGGCGAAAUGAAAGUGAAGGUCAGUCUUGAAUUGGCCGACGUGGGAUCGGUGCUCCUCGGAGUGCUGCGCACCACGGCCCUGUGCGUGUCACUUGUGACUGUGCAGAGGUUGAGCAGUUGGCAAACGACCCGAAAGAUGGUGAACUAUGCCUGAGCAGGAUGAAGCCAGAGGAAACUCUGGUGGAAGUCCGUAUCGGUUCUGACGUGCAAAUCGAUCGAUAGACUUGGGUAUAGGGGCGAAAGACUAAUCGAACCAUC
RNAcentral lists this ribosomal RNA (317 nucleotides) under Panagrolaimus sp. BW287. RNAcentral's name for it is "LSU rRNA". It matches the Rfam family "Eukaryotic large subunit ribosomal RNA", at positions 653 to 944 of the family's 3401-position model. The record is from RNAcentral. Lineage: Eukaryota; Metazoa; Nematoda; Chromadorea; Rhabditida; Panagrolaimidae.